CCUUUCUCUAAAUUCUGGGCUACAGUCAUAUAUCUCAGGAAUUGACGAACUUCAGUGCAUAGAUCUGCAUGAAUCAGUAUAAUGGGAAAUAGGCUCUGCGGCCUAAUUGCCGAGACAAAGCCAAAUAAAGAACCAACGUUGUCAAUCUUCUACCCACCCGUGAAUAUGUUAGUGAUUGACACAGACUCUUCCGACACGGCAGCAGUAUGUCUGCUCUCCGAAUUUUACCCCAAGGAGAUUGAAGUCAGCAUGACUCGUGGCUCAGAAACCAAAGUCACGAAUACAAGUGUGGUGACAAACGACGGAUAUUACCACAGUUCCAAUUACAUACCGUUCUCCAGUAAAGCGGGUCCAGAAAACAUCACGUGCACGGCAAAGCAUAGUGGCAACAUACACUCGGAAAGUAUUACCUUCAAGAAAUCUGAACCUACGACGAGCGCACCGGUCAACUGCCACACAGGGAUAAGCAGCAACCAGACACAAACAGAUCCAGCGGAGGAGAAUUCUAUGUCCUUGACGGUGAUGGGGUUGAGAAUUCUCUUUUUUAAGAGCGUUGCCUUCAAUGUCUUGAUGACAGCCAGAGCCUGGGUCAUUUAAGUCAUUGGCCCGGGUGCUAUUUUAUCGCAGAAGAAUUCCCUCCGCUGGAAUGGAUUCGUACGGCAGCAAAACACCGCGGGGAACUCAGUGCCGGAGACUUCAAAUCCGAUUGCUGCCCCUUCGCUAUACGCAAAACAGCAGAUUUUAAAUGACUAGUCCAAUAUUUCCGAACGCUGCUAAUUUAUAUCCUCUGGGUAACUUCUAUCCAGUUACGGUAAUGCAUUGGCUUUGUUGUGUUUGCCGGACAUCUUAUAGCUUGUAAUCGGCAAAGAAAAUGAAUUACUCGUAUGGGCACCAUAGAUGCGCAUGUGUAGAGCUCAGCAUCAGCUCUCGGUAUUUAGACUGGUCUAAAUCCUGUUCUCAACCGCAUUUUAUAUUCAAUGCAUAAGUAUUUUAUUUGCUUUCUUAGAAUUAUAGAACCUUACAGCUACAAAGGAGGCUAUUUGAUUCAUUGUGGCAGUAACAUCUCCAUUUGCGCCCCUGCACCACAAAUCUCACUUUCCCCAUUGUCCUACAUUUCUUUUGUUCACUGCCUCGGAUCAUUUAAUUGAAUUUAUUUGAUUUUUACUAUAUAUUGUUUAAUCGCUUCAGGUGCACACCUUUGAUAGAUUGCUCAAUCUAACUAUUCAACUCCCUUCUGAAUUGCUGGGAAAUAAUAGGCUUAAAGUAUCCCGAAGUUAUUUAUUCUCAGGGAUAUUAAUAGCGCGGCGUUUCUACAAUCUGGCGGAUGGCUGGAGAACGGGAGGUUUUCACUGAUCGCCUCGCCUUCGGUCCACGAACCAAUUAUAAUGGGCUUCAGUCUGACUAGAUAUUUAGCGGGCAAUGUGGUAGGUCAUUCAGUGUCCCCAUGCCAUACCCCGACUUUCUUUCCUAUGCUGCCAUUCUAUACAAUGCAAGGCAACGCUAGAUGCCAACAUCAAUUCCUGCAUUCGAAAUGCUGAAAAACGUUGCUCACAGGAUUAGCUCUGCCAUUAUACUGCCAGGUUUUUUUUUCCCCAGAAAAGGAAUUUGAUAGAAUAUCAUCGUUUGCGCAGCAGAAAAUCAAGGAUGUAUUGAAUGCUUUGCUCAGAGAGAAUAUCAGUGUUACCUUGGGUUAGAUGUGAGGGUAGCCAAUCUUAUAUUGAAUGACGGCACCCAGUAUAAUAUCCUCCUUGUUGUUUUAACUGCAGUGAUCAAUAAAUAUGCUAUCUUUAA
Pristis pectinata (smalltooth sawfish) is the source of this 1791-nucleotide non-coding RNA. NCBI's taxonomy places the organism in Eukaryota, Metazoa, Chordata, Chondrichthyes, Rhinopristiformes, Pristidae. The record is from the annotation of a RefSeq genome assembly.